UAUUAAAAACUCCAUCCAUUUGUACUGUUAAAAACUAACGUAUCUGACAGAAUAACUAGACAGUAACACGUAACAUGCCAUAUAUAUAUCAUGUUGACAUACAAGAUUUGGUUUUUAACAAUAAAAAUUGAUGAAAUUUUUAAUA
This is a non-coding RNA of Gossypium arboreum, 145 nucleotides long. The record is from Rfam. Lineage: Eukaryota; Viridiplantae; Streptophyta; Magnoliopsida; Malvales; Malvaceae.